This 406-nucleotide ribosomal RNA is filed under the name uncultured bacterium. RNAcentral's name for it is "partial 16S ribosomal RNA". It matches the Rfam family "Bacterial small subunit ribosomal RNA", at positions 30 to 526 of the family's 1533-position model. The record is from RNAcentral.
AUUGAACGCUGGCGGCAGGCCUAACACAUGCAAGUCGAACGAGUGGCGGACGGGUGAGUAAUGUCUGGGAAACUGCCCGAUGGAGGGGGAUAACUACUGGAAACGGUAGCUCAUACCGCAUACCAUCGGAUGUGCCCAGAUGGGAUUAGCUAGUAGGUGGGGGAACGGCUCACCUAGGCGACGAUCCCUAGCUGGUCUGAGAGGAUGACCAUCCACACUGGAGCUGAGACACGGUCAAUGCUCCUACGGGAGGCAGCAUUGGGGAAUAUUGCACAAGGGGAGCAAGCCUGAUGCAGCAAUGCCGCGGGUAUGAAGAAGUCCUUCGGGUUGUAAAGUACUUUCAGCGAGGAGGCGUUACUCGCAGAAGAAGCACCGGCUAACUCCGUGCCAGCAGCCGCGGUAAUAC